GUGAAGCAGGAUGGGAGCCACAUGGAGGAAACUGUUAUUAUUUCUCCACCACUAAAUCCUCCUGGACUGACAGCAGACGUUCCUGCACUGAUCUGGGAUCAGACCUGGUGAAGAUCGACAGCAGAGAGGAGCAGACGUUCCUGCUGAGGAAAGUGAGGGAAAAAAUCAAUGGUGUUAAUGAAAUAAUCUGGAUCGGAUUGACCGCCGUAAAGACAGAAGGCUCCUGGUUGUGGGUGAACGGAUCUCCACUGAACACAAGUUUUUUGGGUCCUAAUCAGCCUGAUUGUGCAGGUGGACGAACACAUGACUGCAACAACAAGAUGGUUUGUGGGAGGAUGAUGAAGACAACAAAUUCUGAUCUUGUGUGGUUGGAUGGAUAUUGUGAUGAUUAUCUGAGAAGUAUUUGUGUGAAAGCAGCUUAGCUGUGUUUC
Molecule: long non-coding RNA, 431 nt
Organism: Poecilia latipinna (sailfin molly)
Lineage: Eukaryota; Metazoa; Chordata; Actinopteri; Cyprinodontiformes; Poeciliidae
Exons: 3
Source: RefSeq, a predicted model, not a curated record